This is a long non-coding RNA of Hibiscus syriacus, 293 nucleotides long. RefSeq lists it as uncharacterized. Lineage: Eukaryota; Viridiplantae; Streptophyta; Magnoliopsida; Malvales; Malvaceae. The record is from RefSeq and is a predicted model, not a curated record. The transcript has 3 exons.
GGAUACUUUAAAGAGCAUGGCUCAUGAUAUGAAUGAGGAAUUGGAUAGGCAAGUUCCUUUGAUGGAUGAAAUUGACAGCAAGGUUAACAUUGUGAUUUUCAUGUUAUUGUACAUAUUAGUAACUGCUUAAGUAUUAGCAACUUACCCUAUGUAUUCUCUUCUUUAAACAUUUACAGGUAGACAAAGCAGCGUCUGACCUUAAGAACACAAAUAUCAGACUUAAAGAUACAGUCACUCAGUUGAGGUCCAGCCGGAAUUUCUGCAUUGAUAUUGUCUUGUUGUGCAUAGUUCUG